CACGUAGGGUGCGAGCGUUGUCCGGAAUUAUUGGGCGUAAAGAGCUCGUAGGCGGUUUGUCGCGUCGAAUGUGAAAACCCGGGGCUCAACCCCGGGCCUGCAUUCGAUACGGGCAGACUAGAGUUCGGUAGGGGAGUCUGGAAUUCCUGGUGUAGCGGUGAAAUGCGCAGAUAUCAGGAGGAACACCGGUGGCGAAGGCGGGACUCUGGGCCGAUACUGACGCUGAGGAGCGAAAGCGUGGGGAGCGAACAGG
Molecule: ribosomal RNA, 253 nt
Filed under: uncultured bacterium
Lineage: Bacteria
Description: partial 16S ribosomal RNA
Rfam family: Bacterial small subunit ribosomal RNA
Source: RNAcentral